Molecule: RNA transcript, 12259 nt
Organism: Solenopsis invicta (red fire ant)
Lineage: Eukaryota; Metazoa; Arthropoda; Insecta; Hymenoptera; Formicidae
Gene name: retinol dehydrogenase 12
Exons: 8
Source: RefSeq, a predicted model, not a curated record
GUUUAUAUAAGAGUGUAAUGCAUGAGAGUACAAUUAUUCGAUGAACAACAAGUGUAGAGCUAAAUCGAACCGAGAACGUUCAGUGAAAUCGAUAGUGAGUGAAGUUUAGUAGAAAUAGUCUAUUGCAUGUUGGUAACGUUGCGGAAAAAGAAGCUUCUCUCAUAAAAUGUGGUUCUUCAGUAAAAUGUGUACGAGUAAAGCACGUCUUGAUGGCAAAACUGUCGUAAUAACAGGAUCUAGUGGUGGUCUUGGCAAAGAAACUGCCAGAGACUUAUACGCUAGAGGAGCCAGAGUAAUUUUAGCUUGUAGAAAUAUGGAAAAAACACGUGAAGCAAUUGACGACAUAAAAAAUAAUCCACCUUCAUGGAUGACAAAAGAUGAAUAUAAGAAUAACGUAGGUGAAUUGGUCAUUUAUUCUUUGGAUUUACGCAGUUUAAGGAGCGUGAGAGAUUGCGCUAAAAACUUAAUAACUAAUGAAGCGUCUAUUCAUAUACUUAUAAAUAAUGCUGGAGUAUGUGGGUAUCCAUACGAAAAGACGGAAGAUGGAAAUCAAACGACACUGCAGGUCAACCAUUUAGGUCAUUUUCUUUUGACACUUCUGCUUUUGCCAAAAAUGAAAUUGUCUUCUCCCAAUUGCAGAAUAGUCAAUGUCUCGUCAUCUACAUAUAUUGUGGCCGACAUUGAUUUUGAUGAUAUCAAUCUAGAGAAAGCUUAUUCGUCAUUUUUUAGUUAUGCACAAAGCAAAUUGGCGAAUAUUCUGUUUACUAAGGCACUCGCUCGUCGAUUGAAAGAAGCAGAUAUUCAUGGGAUAAAUGUAUAUUCUCUGCAUCCUGGUAUUAUAAACACUGAAAUAACGCGUUAUAGUUAUAUCAGUUAUAUAACACAAAUUCCAGGUGUAAAAUUUUGUUAUUGGUUGUUUACGCUAUUAUUUUGUAAAAAUGUUGAGCAAGGAGCUCAAACAACAAUAUAUUGUUCAGUAGAUGAAGAGGUAGCUAAUGAGACUGGACUUUAUUAUUCAAAUUGCAGUGUAGCCACUACAUAUCGAAAAACAAAUGAUUCUGAGUAUGCCGAAAAAUUGUGGAAUGUAUCUUGUCGUCUUUUGCAUCUGGAACCGGAAGAAGAUUUUAACGCGUUUUUGAAAAUCGUUGCACGUCAAAUGAUGUGAGUUCACAAAUAUAAAAAGAAUACAUACGAGAUUCUAGAAAAUUGAGAUGGAACGUAAACGGUCGUGACGCGAGUGUCUAAGCGAAUCGAGCUGCCUCGGCAAGGCAUACGCGCGGUCGGAACAGAAUCCAUCUCCUACACUCGUGUACAUUGCGCGUAUCCUACGUGUACAUCCCAAGGAACUCAAAUUAAAGUUAUAAGAAAGAUUUACAGCUCUGUAGAACGUGUCUAUAAUUUACAUACAACUAUUUAUAGUUUUUACAACGUCUGUACGACUCCGUACAAAUUAGUCAUCAAGUGAUCAUUUUAAGUAAUCAUUUUAAGAUUUUAUUACGUCCCAAGUGGGAAAUGAUAAUAGAAUCGGCGUCGACAUCGAUAUAAAUGUUAUUUUACUGAUAAAAUAAAAUGGCAGAAGGUCGUAUUUCGUGAAACGAAAGUAAUCCCGCUUUAUGAUCCCUAGACUGCGCUCGAAAACAUCACCCCAGUGUCCCCCCUAUCAUUUUAUCUUUGUUAUUCACCGAAUAUUAAACAACGAUACGCUGCGGCACUCGAGUAACAUUUUCGAGAGCAGUUCUAAUCGAGAGGAAGUCGACUACGAAAUAAUUUAUUGUCGAUAAGCGCCAUUCGCAAUUUAUCAAUAGGUCUUUUCCUCUCUAAUGGAGAAAGAAGAGAAAAAGAGGAAAGAUGAACCAUUAAACUACAGGGAACAGGCAUAAUCUUGCCGUCAGCAUUCUAAUUCGAUUAAGGAUACAGAUGGAGCGUUCUACUCUAUUUUGGUGAUUACGUCGCGCGCACGGAGUCGUGCCGUAGAUAACAGUGCAGGCUGUUAUCCUCACUCUCGCCAGACAGUCCGUGACGGCAGCAGCGGCAGACGAGAGCCGCUGCUCGCAACAAUCCCAUUACUUCGACGUAUUAAAACAAAGCGACGCGCACGCGAGGAAUGGAACUUCCAAGAGAGCACCCGGCGAUGCCCCCGAGGGUUUCCUGCUACGUUUCAGGCUUCUCGCGAGCUAUAACGAAACAUCAACAUCCGUAUAGCCCCGGAGCUACCGAGUGUCCGCGAUAUCCUCAGCGGGAAGGAAAGUCAGUUUAUUUAUUUCCGGCGUAGAGAGGUGCGGGAGCUGUGCAGCCUCCGCCUCCGCCGUUGCCGCUUGCGUUCAUCGAACCAAAGUUGCUCUUAUCCUCGGGAGCUUCCUCGUGUAAUCGCAGGUAUAAAUAUUUGGUAUGUACCCGGCUGGCUUCUCGUGUCGAUGGAGAAUUCGCGUUAUCUCGUGAGUAACCUUGAAUGUCGGCACCUAUGCAGGCGCGCCGUUAAUUCUUGUCAGUCCCGCGAAUGCAUUAGUGAAAUUCUCGGACAAAUCGCCGCGCCGGCCGCGAAUGCCAAGCGCGAUGAUCUAGCUGCACGCUACAUUUUUUUUUUUUACAUCUCUUUUAAGUGGAAAUGAGUUUCUGUUCCGAAGACAUUAAGGCGAAUAACGAUCUCCGCGGAGAUGGCUGCGAUGUUUCACAUGCACACGCGGGUUUUACGCCUCAUUACAGAACUUUCGCUUCUUUUGUCGAAAUGUUUAACUUUCUCUAGUUAGUAGACCAUAGAAUUUUACGCAAGAUAAUAUAAUGUUGUAGAAUAUUUCAACUUCUUUUACGACAAACUCGAUUUUUUUAUGACGGUUCAUUCUACUCGCGGGAGUUUUACGGGCGCUGCGAAAGCUGACUUCUUCUUGAAUCGUUUGCCAUUCUGAAAAAUUCCGGGACAAUAAAAAAGAAAAUUGUCAAUCUAACGAUUGUAUAAUAUCGUUCGAAUUUGCUAUCUGAAAUGUGACGAGGAUUGGAUUAGAUUGAUCGACCGAUUUUUGCAUCUAGAGACAGUGCUACUGGCGAAGUAGCAGCAUCAUUAUGCAAGCGCGAUAAAAUGAAAAAUCUUUAAUAAGAUUUGCUCGUUUGCUUGCAUGUCGCUCGACUUUUUUUUUUUACAUCCAAUCUACGCGAGACGUGACCCGAUCGCGAAAACCUAAACGGUGCAUCCCUCUUCCUAGCCGACGUUAACCCGUCUCGCCAUUGUUCCGUUCUACCUGUAUCCAUCUAUUUACCGUUCUCGCGUGGUCAGUGGAAUACGGCCGAUCCAGGGAGAAAGAGAGCCCUGAGGCUACCGAAUUACAAUGGCAAAAGAGCCGGCCUUUCUCCGUGCCAUGCUGCCGUAAACAAGAACGCGGAAGUCAGCGCAGGUGUGUACAUUUGCAUAGACUUUGUGGGAUAGUUAUACGCUUAGGAGUAUACGCGCGAUUUUGCGCGAAGCCCCGACCGGAUAGGUGAGCCGACUCUUUCAUUCCUGGAUCGACGGUGCGAGCCCCGUGGCGCUUAAACGAAUAUAUAAAUUCGUUCUAGAAUGCCAUAGUGUUCACGCAUUCUUAUUUACGAGCGGCUACUUUCACUUGGAAGAUUCGAAAAUUUGAUCAACAGAAAUUGAACUUGAUUUCUGAAUCAUUAUUAUGCAUGAUCUUCGUGAACUUAUACCUAAAAUAUACUUGUAAGUAUAUAUUUUCGCGUUAUAUAAAUUAUGUCGGGAAUAAUUAUCAAAUUAAUUUACUCGUACAUAGUUAUAUUAAUAAAAAUUGAACACUUUACUUAUCUUUGAAAGUUUGAAUCACAUUUUGGCGGCAUGCUCUGUGAAUAUAAUAUUUCACUUACGAAACCCUUCUCACUUGUUUCAUAAUCAUCGAUAGUCUGUUCUGAUGCAGUCGGCAGAAGUGAAAAUUACUGGCGUUGCGUUUCUUCCACCAGUAAAACCAGUGGAUGAUCCCAAAUAGUCCGAAACGUCAUAGGCCCGGUUUUUCAUUAUCUGAUUAACUUGUGGUUAAACUUAAUCUGAUGUUUUAACCAAUGAGCUUCACCUAUGGCAUCAUUAUGGGUGAAGCUCGUUAGAUAAAACAUCAGGUUAAGUUAACUGGAUAAUGAAAAACCGGGCCAUAAAGAUUUUCGGAACUGAAUCAAGCAUUCUAGAAUUAUUUCUUUGUCGCGUUAGUUUUUUUUGCAGCUCUUCGUUAGGAGAGACUUUUGUUCGACGCGGAGUCAAAAAGAGAUAAAAAAUCGACGUACUCGACCGCGAAGGUAGACAAAUGUGAGUCACGAUAACACAGAUCCCCGCCCCACCGAAGUAUCGAAGACGGGAAUAAAACACCGGCAAGCGUGUAUGUUUGAUCGAAGCGCGUUGGAGUCGCAUAGCGGGCGCGCAUCUCGCGGCCUGAAAUUUCAUUUUCCGCGAGACGACGGGCUUUUAUUUCGAUUCGCCGCGGCUAGGAGGAACGUGGGGUGCACGGCAAAUAUGCACGCGCGUCCCGCAUGAAUAUUUACAUCCAGAUGGUGUACAUAAAUAGUACUCAACGAAAAAAUGGGUUAGACCCGGAAUACACCCACCCGCGCUGUAGAUAUCCGCCGGAAGCGGUCACAAAUUCUCCGAGUCUCGCGGCACAACCGCAUUGCGCAUAACUCUCGAGGACCCGCUCCUCCCUUCCGACCCGGCGCGCUUCUCCUCUCUUCCUCGCUCUUUCAACCUGCGGCUCUAAAUUGUAUGUAUGAAUUAUUUUCAUUAUGGCUGUUAUCUAUAGUUGAGAGCUUAAGAGUUGCUGAUGCACCGUCAUACACAAGGUACGUAAUAAUAAUUAUGAUAAUUUAGCGCGUAUGGCAUAAUUACAUGCGGGACGAAUAUCAAGUUUUACCUCCUUUUUCUAAAUUUAAUAUUUAUCAAACGCAUACAAUUUUUAGGAUGUAUGCGGUCGCAAAACAUUACCAAAAAUAUAAAAAUUUCAUGAAAUAUUCUAGUAUUAAACUUGAAUAUCUGUGUAAAAUUUAAGCACAGUUCACUUUAAUUAACUAUUAGUUUAAAAGUUACUUAAUUUUUUGUUUACUUUUGAUUCUCAUUGUAAAAUCGUCUUUGGAGUACAUACCUGCAAAGAUGGGGAAGUGGCAUUACCAUUUAAAUCAAAAUUUUUACAUGUACUAAUAAGACUCUCCAAAUAUUCGUGCAAAAAUUCAUUUGGAUCUACUUGUUUAAAAGUUAUUUAUUUAAAUGCAAGAACCAUUUAAAAUUUUUCAUCGUGUUCUCCUUUGCAACUAGUUCCAGAGCCAAAAUUCGAGCAUUCGCAAUCCACAUUUUUUAUUGUAGAUUAAAAAAAUAGAUCUAGAGUUUUUAAAUUUCGAUUUUUUUUAUUAGAAAAAAAUUAAUCAGUUUUUAAAUUUCGAUUUUUAGCUUGUAUGAUAUAGUCGAAACAUCCUUAACAUUAUACAGUAAAUGACUAACAUUACAUUUACUUCGUUACAUUUAUUGAUUAUAAUAUUUCAUACGUUACAACAUAGCAUUAAUACAUUAGCGAUAUCUAUAAAGGUGAACUCUUGAACGUGAGAUCUUCAAGACGACUUUUGAAGUUUCUGUGGCAAUUACGUCAAACUUAUUUCGAGUUCCCGAGCGGCAGCGUUAAUGAUGCGAACGGCAUUCUGUUGUGAAACUAUUUCUCUGAAAGAAUAAAAUCGAGCAAUGGUAUCGCACUUUAGUGCUUCACAUCUCUAUCAAUCUCGACAAAUGCCGCGCUUAAUGUCCACAAACGCUAAUAAAUCCAAAAAUACCUAACCGCGCUUGAAUUAAAAAAAGAAAUGACGGGAAAGGAGGAACGCUAAAAAUAAGUAUGACGGAUCUUUUGUUCUACCGAAAUUUCCAACGACAGUUUAUGACAAAUAACAUCUACUUUAUUGUCGCAUUUAUGACGAAUGGCGGAUUACGCGUAUGCACGUAUGAAAUAUCGCUUUUAUCGGGCCAAUCGUCGUCGUAGCUCCCAUUUGCCAUUUUGGGGUCACGUAUUGCCCCAUUCGCCGGUGCGCGUUUUCGCGUUUACGUUCUUCCUAUAUUUUACACGUAUCCGCUGCUCUAAUCUCUCUGCACUCUAAUCUCUCUAAUCUCUCUACGUAUACACAUACAUUCUACUUUCGGAACGUGACGAUAAAUUGGAUUUUCAAAUACGGUCUCCGGAGUAUUCUUAAUUCUGGAUAAUCAAAACUAAUGCAUGAUUAUUUUCACGUGAAACUCGCGAAUUUAACGGACAAAAGAAUCUUCCAAAUAUGGUCUCCACGGUGUUCUUAAUCCUGGAUAAUCACAACUGAUGCGUGAUUAUUUUCACGUAAAACUCUCGCGAAUUAACGCGCGAAAAAAUUUUUUUCUGCGGAAAAUAAGCUGCAAAAUAUUCAUCGCGACAUUAAAUGUAUCCCGUUAACAUUAAACAUCAUUAAUCUUGAGAUUAUUCUUGCUUUUCUGGUAAUAAUUUAAACAAUACAAAAUAUUUAACAAAUGCUUUUUUUUGCAUCGAGUUGCUCCUUGUGCUCUCUAUUUAUCAUCUAUUUUUUUUUUAUUUCUACUAUUCUAUUUCUUUUUUUUUUCUUACUUUACUUCUAGUACGACUACGUAACGAUUCCUCAGAUUUCUUCAGUUCGUCCAUCACAUAUUUGGUGUCUUCGACUUCCAUCCGCGAAUCUUUACUAUCGCCAUAAGUGCUCACGCAGAUCGUUCGUGUACAUUCGCUCCUAUCGCUCGUCAAACUGGUCUAAACGAAAAGACGCGAUACAUGUCGCAAGGAAGAGAAUAAGUACCGUGUUACGUCGCGAAAUUCUGUUCCAAUUUGUCAUACGACGUAAAGACGGAAAAGGAUGGCUCUUACUUUAGAUUCAUCCGAGCAACGUCUUUGGGCGGGUCGACGAAAGGUCUUCUUAAGACGGAGGCAGCAAAUUGCGAACGGGAAAAUCAAAAAGAACAUCGCGUUCAAGAAGAAUUCCGCCCUCCUGCAGAACGCAUUCGUCGAAAAUCGUAUCACGUUUCACGCACUUAUCUAUACAUUUAUCGUACUGUUUUAUCUUCUCAUCUGUACCUGCUGCAUAUCCUCACGGUUCUCUUGCGCGUAUCCGGAUGCACCGGGGCACCAUGCUCAUCCGUCACCACGUAUUUAUAUUUUAAUUCUUGUUCGUAGUAUUCCGACAUUCCGCUAGUUUCCAAUAGAGAAUCUAAACCCCAACGACCUACCAUCGGUAUGUACAAGCCGAUCAACCAUUUCAGGAAACCUGAGGAAACGCAUACUUUAUCGUGCAUUGUUUUUUUUUUUAUUCGUAUUGAUAACGUUGUUAAAAAUAUUAAAAAUAGUUCAGACCGUAUAAAUAAAUAAAUGAAUAAAUUCAUGAACGUAAAUUCUGAGAAUAUAAACAUGUAUUAAAUAUGAGCCAGAAAAAUUUACGAGGAAAUUAUAUUUCGUUAGAAAAGAUAUAAAAGAAUGCAACGCGUUAAAAACAUUUUACCAGCUAGAAAAAUGCACAUGUCAUAAAUUGAAAUAUAUCGAGGUUUAAUAGUUGGAUUUAGAAGUUAUUGAGCUGAAAAAAAUAAUACAGUUGUAUAAUUACUGACCUAUGAAAAGCAAGAGCAGUAUCGAUGAAACGAUGAAGCAUAGAAUGUUUAUGGCUUUUGUGAAAAUUUUGCGAGAGGCUGCGGGAACGGGACCGCAAAAUCCAGCGGCGUGAUAAAGCUCCGGUGACAUCGGUGUGCAGCCUGGGUCACGCGCGUCGCCCAUGCACACGCAUAAGCAGUGCAGCGUGCAAGAGCAACGAUCCAUUUUACGUAUCUUUAUCCUCCUAGCGGCCACUAGCCCUCCGAAACGAUUCAGUAAUUGCACUGCAAACGCAAUCGCCCGAUGUUUACUCGAAUACGCACGAUCUCUUGCAUAUAUUCCGCGCACGGCAAUAAUAAAAAUCGCCUGCAAUAUUCUGCAGUUCGAUAACUCUACUGGAAGCUAAAUCUCAGUUCCUUCUUUUUUUCAUUAUAUUCGUGAAAAAAAAAUUAUUUCAGAUUUAAAAAAUACAAAAUUGAAUGCAAAGUUGAGAAUCCUAAUUUUUAUGUUUCUCAAAUAUUAUUUGAAGAUGCGAAUAUACUUUAGAAGCGUCGUUGUAGUUUAUUACAUUCUCGUGGGGUUGUUAGAUUUACCAGAACAAUGAAAUUCAUUUAUGGGCAGUUCGCCGUAAAGAUCCAAGCUCACUGCUUGAUCCCGUCGAGGUUGAAUUAUUUUUUUAGGAAACGUAGCGUUCACCCAAGAUUCUGGAAGAUUAUCGGGACAUUUCGCGAUCCUUGAUCGAUAGGACAUCGAGGUCAGCCCCGUAUUGGUUAUCACAAUUGUCACUAUGGUAUGAUCGAGUGCCCUGCUGUCCACGUGUACCUUGCUGAUACAACCUAAAGAUCUAAGAUAAAAAAAUUUUCAACAACCAUAAUUUAGUCGACAACAUGUACAAUAGAUUUGAGAAAUUUGAAAAAAAUUAUAUUGAAACAUUCUCAGAUUUGUAUUAUUAAGAAACUUCCGAUUUAUAAAAUAUAUCAUUAAGCAAUUUAUUUCAUAUUUAUAAAAUAUUAUUGAUAUUAUAAAAAAGAAUCUGUCAUCGUUUUAAUUUAGAAUUUACAUAAAAUAGAAUAUCCGUCGUCAUUAAUGGCACUGACACUUUUCUGUUCAUUACUCCCGAAGCGUCAGAUAUAUAAACUUGUUUCAAAGAAGAGCCGCCUAGCGCGCCAACUCUGAGCCAUUCGGAGUAAUCACGGAAAAUCGGAUUACGAGGGAAUUAGCGCGCGAAGUGUAAGCGAACUGGUUAGUUGGUAAUCUCUGGUUAGUCGUCUAGCUAGAGGUAGAUAGAUAUCGUUCCUCUCGAGAGACUCACCCUCCCGCGGGCGCGGCAUUGUAACCCGCCUCGACUUCGAUGUCGAUCGCAGACACGUGCGGCGAAUGGUACUCCAGAGCGAGAAACUCGUGACUUCCGCUUCCGUUCGCGCUGUACUUGAUGGGCUCGCUCGGCACGGAUGCGAAAUUGCUCAAGAAGUAGCAACCAGGUCGCCCGGCCGCGCGAGCUUCCUGUCGACAUGUGACACUAGAUCGAACAGCGGCCCGACCUUCGACAGCCGGCUGGCGGAAAUGUUCGCGGGUACACGAGGUGGUUUCCGGCACAUGUUCGUGACGCGCGGCCGUCGUCUGCUCUCGCCGCGAUAAACGCUCGCGAUGAUCAUAGCUCACGCGGGUCUGAAGCUCGACGAGCGAAAGCCAAUCGAUAAGGAUCUUAUUCUUUUUCGAUAAAAGUUAUUUCGUUUGUAUUCCUUCCAUUUAUGAACUUUGAUAUUUUUUUUUUCUACGAUCUCGCAGACUCUAAAGUUACAAUUUUCGCAUUUGCGAAAAACCUAAUGCAGUACCGUCAAAUUCAUAAGCUCUUUGAAGCGGAAAUUGCUUGAGAUUGAUUAAAACGUAAAAUUAAAUAUAGAAAAAAAAAAAUCUUGAAUGAAUUCCAAAUUGCACGUUGCAAAAAUCUUAUAAUGUACGAUGCGUCGUCUCGCAAUAGAAUCGCGGGAGAAAAACGCGCGUCCCCGCGAUACAAUAAUUCGAAAUGUAACAACGGGCAUUCUCAACGGCGGACGGUCGCUGCGGACAUUUAUGAGAGCGAGACAGAUUCGGUAUUUCGCCCGAAACGAGACGGCUCGAAUUCCUCGUCUCGCGUAUCACAGAGCCGACAUGCAAAAAUCCACGCUGUGUCCCUCCACCGACGACCGAUUUGUAUACGACUGUCCGUUCGUGUCGCCGGGGACAAAUAUCCUUUUGCAACGUUUUAUACGGGUAUAAGUAUUAAAUUCGUGCGCGAUAAAUCAUGUUACAUGGCGAGCGCGGGCCGCACUUAAAGCGUCUCGCGCUCGCUCGCCCGCUCGCUCAAACGCGCGACGACGGCCGCGAAUAGCUCGAGGACAGGCCAUUUCCAGCGUUGUUUCAUUUAUUGCACCUGUCAUACGUACUGCGUCGCGCCUACGGUAGGCCAGGGGCUGAUUUUUCAAACAGGUUCCCCUGACACGUCCACACCGGUCCGGUUGCCUCGCGAACGCCGCGAAUCCCACGCCCGCUUUGUCGCACUCAUUUCCACUCUCGUUGAUGCUGCUCGCCGGCACCACGAGAUACUCGCCCGAUUCGCCUACGUCGAACACCAAAAUAUCAUCGUUUAAUGAAAUGUCUUACGGUAGAUUUAUUGCUUCACUUGAGAAAUCUUUGCAGUCAUUUUUGUCAUUGAUGAGAUUAAAUUAGCUACACGUUAUUCUUUUUUAACACCAAGCUUUUAAAAUUCUUGUAAUGAACUUUAUAUCGCGUGCAUUAAUUUUAAUAAAUUAUAAUUAUAUGUGUUACAUUAGUAUAAUUUAUUAUAUAUUAUAAUAAAUUUUAUUAAACAAUGUAAUAGAUAAAAAUUCAAAGGAGGACAUUAAAAAAGUGUCAAUUUGUGCUCCCGAAAUGGCAAAUAAAAGCGAUUUACAUGUUGCAAAUUUUAUAAUUUAAUAGCAUUAAAUCUUUGUUACUAUAUAAAUCAAUUGAUAUAUAUAUAUAUUUUUAUCUUUAAUUAUUUUAUUAAAAAAUUUUAUUUGUCAAAAAUUAAAAUAUAGAAAAUUAAUUAUGAAAAAUUUCCGUAAUAAUUCGUUUACAAAUAAAUCUUUUUAAAGCAUUUGACGAAAUGAUUUUCAAAAAUGUGAUAAAGCUUUUUGACUCCAGAAAAACGACACGAUAAAUUUCAUAAUUUUUUGGCACAUUAAUGAUUUGAUUUUUUUAUAUAUUUAUAUGACAACAUUAUAAUGCAUUGUUGACGUACAACAAGAAUAAGCGAUAUUUUCGAUAAUUGUGCUACUUUAUAAUUGUUAAAAUAUAUAGAGCACAAGAUCCUACGUCAUGACGAAGUAACAGUGUUACCUCAUCCUGUAUAUGUAACAGUUACAAAUUAAAUUUAAUUAGAUAAUUAAAAGUCAGAAUUAGAUUCAUCAGCUUAAUUUGCUUUAUUUGCCACUCUGCACUUUUUCAACAUUCCUCUUUGUUAUGUAUCGUAGUACACAUUCUGACUUUGUAUCUUUCAACAUGGUGCUCCGCUGUCUAAAAAUUUUAAUUAAACUUUUGGUAGGAAAAAAUAUGCGUUUUUAGUAUAUCUAAAAUAUGUGCGCCUUUUUAAAUGCAGACAACAAACGUGAAAUCAUUCUUUUAGACAUGUAAUUAUUCACUCUUUUCGUAUUUACGAUAAAUUCAGUUAUGAAGCAUAAACUUGCAUACGCAAUUUCGAAAGGAAGGCGUUGAAAUAUUCUCGGUUCGGUACCUUCGGCAGGAUAUUCGGAGCCUUUUGAUGUCACCGACGAUGGUACCAAAAGACGAUCACGAACGACAUUCAAAUUAGGUAUCUCGUCCUCCUUCCGUCCUAACAUUUUCACUUCCUUGUAGGCGAAAGCGAUCGUAUCUUGGCUACCUCUAUGGUGCCUGUUGAACGUGCCCAAUCUGAUGGCAUAAACGACCUAUCUAGCGUGAAGUUUAUCGGGCUGCUUCGAACGUACUCGAGUGCGCAUUCAAACUCUAUCUCUUUCUACCUAUCUGUCUAUCUCUCACCUGACUACGGAGUCACCGGUAAGAUCCUCCCAGUGAGUCGAUCCGUUUGCUAAAACGCGUUUUUCGUAAACCCGAAGAUACACCGCGUGCUCGACGAUAGGAUCCUCCAAUUGAUACACGGAGUACCUAAAGGACCUUUCUGACGUUAAUUUUCAAUGAACUUUGACGAAUUUAAGGUUGACGCGUAACGAUACGAUUCAUAAUCGACAAAUAGAAAGUUGCGAAAAUCGAUUUAACAUGGAGAACUUUUGAAAAAACCGGGGAACAUCAGGAAAUGUCUUCGUAUCGAUUAUCUGUUAAUUAAUUUGCGACGCGUCAACUGCAGAGGCCGCUUCGGAAAGCGCGAAACAAAGCACUCAGCUUUGCGUUGCACCGAUGUAGUCUGUAAUUGUUGCCGCGCAUUGUGCUUAAAACUGAAAAUAAAUGAUCGAGAGCCAUUGGCCGUCAUUUUAAUGUUUUUAAUAAACCGUUGGCCCAUGCCGCUAUUAUACGCACGAUUGCUUCGCGUUAUUUUUAAUAAACUGUAUUGACAGGUAAAACAACACACUCUCUCCGUAACAAAUGAGGGAAAAGUUUUGUGUUAUUUGUUAAAUAAUGGCAUUAUUUUCAGUCGGUGAAUUUACAAAAAAAAAAAAAAAGAAAAA